UUAAGACCCUGGGAUAACCAACUGCUGCCAGCCUCAGACAGCUCUAAUAUUUAUUCCUCUUAGAUCCCUCCUUCAAAAUUUUUGUGAAGGAGAGAUAGAGUAGUUAUUGGCUUUGUAAUUCACAACAGUGUAAGGAUAACUUUAUGUGCCAGUAGCAGAGUAAUAGCUUCAUCUCCUGUUCAUUAUGCUGAGCUUUGUGCAGCUUGGAUGGGAUUGCAAAU
Molecule: long non-coding RNA, 221 nt
Filed under: Elaeis guineensis (African oil palm)
Lineage: Eukaryota; Viridiplantae; Streptophyta; Magnoliopsida; Arecales; Arecaceae
Description: long non-coding RNA (EGUI_LNC000477)
Source: RNAcentral